This 753-nucleotide long non-coding RNA is filed under the name Physcomitrium patens. RNAcentral describes it as "long non-coding RNA (PPAT_LNC012017)". Lineage: Eukaryota; Viridiplantae; Streptophyta; Bryopsida; Funariales; Funariaceae. The record is from RNAcentral.
AGGCCACCAAUAUCUCACCAUUAAAGCUUUACAAGCAGUUCUAUCACCGUUGUCGUAACACAUGAAGUCUUGCUUGAAAAUGCUCCGAGCACCUGGCUAUAGAAGGAAGAAUGGAAAUUAUAAUAAGAAAAUCCUAAUUCUAAUAGAAUACUAACAAUACUCUAAUUAGACCAUAAUAAUGGUAAGCAAGCUUAAUCAAAUUCAAAAAAACCUCAAAGAAAUUUCUAACAAAUAAUAAGAAUACUUAAAGAAAUAUUAGAAGGAUCACAAUUAUCACUCAAAUAUAUCUCAAUUCAAUCUUAAUUUAAUCCUAGUUAAAAUCCCAUUGAAUUUCAUUCAAAAUUUAGGCCAAACCUAAUUAAAUCUUAAAUCCUACUAAAAUCCUAAAUCCUAAAUCAAACCCUAAAUAAAUCUUAAACCGAAUUCUAACCAAAUCCUAAACCAAACCCUAAAUCAAAUCCUAACCAAAUCCUAAACCAAAUCCUAAAUCCUAAAUCAAAUCCUAACCAAAUCCUAAUCCACAUCUUAAAUCUUAAAUCAAAUCCUAAUCCACAUCCUAAAUCCUAAAACAAAUCCUAAUCCAAAUCCUAAAUAAAAUCCUAACCAAACCCUAAUAUAAAUCCUAAACCUUAAACCAAACCCUAAAUCAUAAAUAAAAUCCUAAAUCAAAUCCUAAAUCCUAAAUAAAAUCCUAACCAAAUCCUAAAUCCUAAAUAAAAUCCUAACCAAAUCCUAAACCAAACCCUAAUCCAA